RNAcentral lists this ribosomal RNA (1536 nucleotides) under Klebsiella pneumoniae. Its description in RNAcentral is "16S ribosomal RNA". It matches the Rfam family "Bacterial small subunit ribosomal RNA". The record is from RNAcentral. Lineage: Bacteria; Pseudomonadati; Pseudomonadota; Gammaproteobacteria; Enterobacterales; Enterobacteriaceae.
UUGAAGAGUUUGAUCAUGGCUCAGAUUGAACGCUGGCGGCAGGCCUAACACAUGCAAGUCGAGCGGUAGCACAGAGAGCUUGCUCUCGGGUGACGAGCGGCGGACGGGUGAGUAAUGUCUGGGAAACUGCCUGAUGGAGGGGGAUAACUACUGGAAACGGUAGCUAAUACCGCAUAACGUCGCAAGACCAAAGUGGGGGACCUUCGGGCCUCAUGCCAUCAGAUGUGCCCAGAUGGGAUUAGCUAGUAGGUGGGGUAACGGCUCACCUAGGCGACGAUCCCUAGCUGGUCUGAGAGGAUGACCAGCCACACUGGAACUGAGACACGGUCCAGACUCCUACGGGAGGCAGCAGUGGGGAAUAUUGCACAAUGGGCGCAAGCCUGAUGCAGCCAUGCCGCGUGUGUGAAGAAGGCCUUCGGGUUGUAAAGCACUUUCAGCGGGGAGGAAGGCGGUGAGGUUAAUAACCUCAUCGAUUGACGUUACCCGCAGAAGAAGCACCGGCUAACUCCGUGCCAGCAGCCGCGGUAAUACGGAGGGUGCAAGCGUUAAUCGGAAUUACUGGGCGUAAAGCGCACGCAGGCGGUCUGUCAAGUCGGAUGUGAAAUCCCCGGGCUCAACCUGGGAACUGCAUUCGAAACUGGCAGGCUAGAGUCUUGUAGAGGGGGGUAGAAUUCCAGGUGUAGCGGUGAAAUGCGUAGAGAUCUGGAGGAAUACCGGUGGCGAAGGCGGCCCCCUGGACAAAGACUGACGCUCAGGUGCGAAAGCGUGGGGAGCAAACAGGAUUAGAUACCCUGGUAGUCCACGCCGUAAACGAUGUCGAUUUGGAGGUUGUGCCCUUGAGGCGUGGCUUCCGGAGCUAACGCGUUAAAUCGACCGCCUGGGGAGUACGGCCGCAAGGUUAAAACUCAAAUGAAUUGACGGGGGCCCGCACAAGCGGUGGAGCAUGUGGUUUAAUUCGAUGCAACGCGAAGAACCUUACCUGGUCUUGACAUCCACAGAACUUAGCAGAGAUGCUUUGGUGCCUUCGGGAACUGUGAGACAGGUGCUGCAUGGCUGUCGUCAGCUCGUGUUGUGAAAUGUUGGGUUAAGUCCCGCAACGAGCGCAACCCUUAUCCUUUGUUGCCAGCGGUCCGGCCGGGAACUCAAAGGAGACUGCCAGUGAUAAACUGGAGGAAGGUGGGGAUGACGUCAAGUCAUCAUGGCCCUUACGACCAGGGCUACACACGUGCUACAAUGGCAUAUACAAAGAGAAGCGACCUCGCGAGAGCAAGCGGACCUCAUAAAGUAUGUCGUAGUCCGGAUUGGAGUCUGCAACUCGACUCCAUGAAGUCGGAAUCGCUAGUAAUCGUAGAUCAGAAUGCUACGGUGAAUACGUUCCCGGGCCUUGUACACACCGCCCGUCACACCAUGGGAGUGGGUUGCAAAAGAAGUAGGUAGCUUAACCUUCGGGAGGGCGCUUACCACUUUGUGAUUCAUGACUGGGGUGAAGUCGUAACAAGGUAACCGUAGGGGAACCUGCGGUUGGAUCACCUCCUU